This 711-nucleotide ribosomal RNA is filed under the name Triticum aestivum (bread wheat). RNAcentral describes it as "partial small subunit ribosomal RNA". The record is from RNAcentral. Lineage: Eukaryota; Viridiplantae; Streptophyta; Magnoliopsida; Poales; Poaceae.
AUGUGCACAGUGGAGAAGCGCGGCCGCGUCCACCUCAUCACCCUCACCGGCGCCGGUGAGCACCGACUCAGCCCAUCCCUCAUCUCGGCCCUCCGCACAGCCGUGGCCACCGUCCGCGCCUCCCCCGGUGCCGGUGCCCUCGUGCUGGCCGCCGAGGGCAAGUACUUCUCCAACGGCUUCGACCAAGCCUGGGCGCGCACGGUCCCGCCCCACCUCCACGACUCCAUGAGAGGAGCCUUCCGCGCCCUCGUGGCCGACCUCCUCGCGCUGCCCAUGCCCACCGUGGCCGCCGUCACGGGCCACGCAGCCGCCGCCGGCUGCGCGCUGGCCCUCGCGCACGACUCCGUCGUCAUGCGCGCCUCCCGCGGGUUCCUGUACAUGAGCGAGGUCGACGUCGGCCUCAAGUUCGCCGACUACUUCGGGGAGCUACUCCGGCAGAAGGUCCCCAACGCAGCGGCCAGGAGGGACAUGGUCCUCGGGGGGAAGAAGAUGACGGCGGCUGAGGCGGUGCGGCUGGGCAUCGUGGACGCGGCCGCGGACGGCGGCGUCGAAGACGUGGUGGCCGCGGGCGUCGCGGCAGCCGAGGUGCUCGCGACGAGGGGUUGGGACGGGGAGAUCGUGGCCGAGAUCCGGAAGGCGAUGUGGCCCGCCGUGUGGGGCAAGGUCAAGGACCACGGCGCCGAGGCAGCGGCAGCGCGGCCGCGUCUGUAG